Molecule: ribosomal RNA, 490 nt
Filed under: uncultured bacterium
Lineage: Bacteria
Description: partial 16S ribosomal RNA
Rfam family: Bacterial small subunit ribosomal RNA
Source: RNAcentral
AGUGAACGCUGGCGGCAGGCCUAACACAUGCAAGUCGAACGGCAGCACAGGAGAGCUUGCUCUCUGGGUGGAGAGCGGGGGUCGGGUGAGGAAUACAUAGGAAUCCACCUUUAAGCGGGGGUUAACGUAGGGAAACUUACGCUAAUACCGCAUACGUCCUACGGGUGAAAGUGGGGGAGCGCAAGGCCUCACGCGAAUAGGUAAGCCGCUGUCCGAUUAGCUAGUUGGCGGGGUGAUGGCCCACCAAGGCGACGAUCGGUAGCUGGUCUGAGAGGAUGAUCAGCCAGACUGGAGCUGAGACACGGUCCAGACUCCUACGAGAGGCAGCAGUGGGGAAUAUUGGACGAUGGGCGCAAGCCUGAUCCAGCCAUACCGCGUGGGUGACGAAGGCCUUCGGGUUGUAAAGCCCUUUUGUUGGGAAAGAAAUCCUGUCGAUUAAUACUCGGUGGGAAUGACGGUACCCAAAGAAUAAGCACCGGCUAACUUCGUG